Molecule: ribosomal RNA, 253 nt
Filed under: uncultured bacterium
Lineage: Bacteria
Description: partial 16S ribosomal RNA
Rfam family: Bacterial small subunit ribosomal RNA
Source: RNAcentral
UACGUAGGGUGCGAGCGUUAAUCGGAAUUACUGGGCGUAAAGCGUGCGCAGGCGGUAAUGUAAGACAGAUGUGAAAUCCCCGGGCUUAACCUGGGAAUUGCAUUUGAGACUGCGUAGCUAGGGUGCGGAAGAGGGAAGCGGAAUUUCCGGUGUAGCGGUGAAAUGCGUAGAUAUCGGAAGGAACACCAGUGGCGAAAGCGGCUUCCUGGUCCAGCACCGACGUUCAGGCACGAAAGCGUGGGGAGCAAACAGG